This 31-nucleotide non-coding RNA is filed under the name Rattus norvegicus (Norway rat). Lineage: Eukaryota; Metazoa; Chordata; Mammalia; Rodentia; Muridae. The record is from RNAcentral.
UCUCUUUUUUAUUAACCACAAACUUGAGAGC